GUUUGAACUAUUGCCCAAAACAGUUCUCACAAAAGAACAGAGAACUUCUGGGUAGUAAAAUAGUUCUUUAAAUUCAAAAAUUGGGUGAAGCUAACAACUGAGAAGCAGAUGGUAAUUGGCAGAUGUGCUCAAUGAUACGGAGAUUUAAGACUUUCAAGCCAAUAAAGAGGAAGGAAUACGAUAUCUAUUAUCUACACAUCACUGGUUACUCUACUUUCCAAUUUAUGUGCAGGGUGCAGGAAAGCAGUGAGGAGGCAUUCCCAUUGGCCAUUGGCUUUAGAAGAUCAUAUGGCCACUGAAUUUCCAAGAAUGAUAAAUGUAUAAAUAUUAAGAAAGUGUCGCUAUUGUGGUUUUGGAUGAAGGGUUCAUUUUGUGCGGGCUUAGCUUCACACACCAUGGUCGGUGAUACUGAUACUUCUUCUUGUAUCAUGUUAAGGAAGCGCUUGUCUGUUAUGCUCAUGCGUGUGAAGUUUCACUGAGGCAUUGGUUCUGCCUGCAAGUCCAGUCUCUACAAAGCUGUAAGUUUUCAUUUUCACUGUCAUGGCGACCAGUGACUUUGUUUCGCGGUUAUAUGAUUAUGAUAAUUGAAAAAUUCCGAUAUCAAAGCAUUAAUUAUACAUCGUCUUGUAUGUUUGGAUUGUGUGUGUGUUUUACGGGAUAUGUUUGUUGAUUAUCAGUUGAGAUUUCUGCUCAACAAAAUUCAAUUUCUUUUCUUCUCCUUUCUCAAUGAAAUUUUCUGCUACCAAAUAGAGUUUUCUGGGGAAAAAGCAGGGAGGAGUUGAACAGGGUGGUGAUAGGUGAAAUUAUGGAGUCAGGGCAUAACUAUACGGACAAUAGUAAAGAAAAUCAGCUCCUUUUCGCCAGCUUCAGAGGAGAUGCUGAUAUUGCUGUAACAAGUAAAUCCACCUGCUUUGGUUCGUUAAGCAGACAAAUCAAGAAUUCUUUGAAUGAGUUGCAAGAUUUUGCUGAGAAAGCAUGGGAAAUGGGUCGGUCUGAUCCCCGGAAAAUCAUAUUCGCAAUCAAGAUGGGACUGGCACUUGCGAUUGUAUCGCUGCUUAUAUUCUGGAAAGGACUUUACGAUAUUUCUCAGUACUCUAUCUGGGCAAUUCUAACAGUCAUUGUUAUGUUCGAAUACAGCAUAGGAGCGACCUUUAUAAAAGGAUUUAAUCGGCUAUUGGGUACACUGUUUGCUGGAAUGCUUGCCUGUUGCUUUGCUGAGCUAUCUUUGUUGUUUGGUAGAUGGGAGGAAGUUGUAAUUGUUAUCAGUAUUUUUAUUAUAGGAUUUUUUGCCUCCUAUCUGAAACUGUAUCCGACAAUGAAGCCUUACGAAUAUGGAUUUCGAGUGUUCUUGUUGACAUAUUGUAUGGUCAUGGUGUCUGGAUAUAGGACCAGGGAAUUUAUCCAUACAGCCAUUAUACGGUUUGUGCUUAUUGCACUGGGUGCUGGUGUCUGUUUGGCAAUAAAUAUAUGCAUUUAUCCUAUCUGGGCUGGCGAGGAUUUGCACAACUUGGUGGUAAAAAAUUUCAUGAAUGUGGCAACUUCUUUGGA
This 1548-nucleotide unclassified non-coding RNA is filed under the name Hevea brasiliensis (rubber tree). Lineage: Eukaryota; Viridiplantae; Streptophyta; Magnoliopsida; Malpighiales; Euphorbiaceae. The record is from RNAcentral.